UGGGGAAUAUUGCACAAUGGGCGCAAGCCUGAUGCAGCCAUGCCGCGUGUGUGAAGAAGGCCUUCGGGUUGGAAAGCACUUUCAGCGGGGAGGAAGGCGAUAAGGUUAAUAACCUUGUCGAUUGACGUUACCCGCAGAAGAAGCACUAGCUAACUCCGUGCCAGCAGCCGCGGUAAUACGGAGGGUGCAAGCGUUAAUCGGAAUUACUGGGCGUAAAGCGCACGCAGGCGGUCUGUCAAGUCGGAUGUGAAAUCCCCGGGCUCAACCUGGGAACUGCAUUCGAAACUGGCAGGCUAGAGUCUUGUAGAGAGGGGUAGAAUUCCAGGUGUAGCGGUGAAAUGCGUAGAGAUCUGGAGGAAUACCGGUGGCGAAGGCGGCCCCCUGGACAAAGACUGACGCUCAGGUGCGAAAGCGUGGGGAGCAAACAGG
RNAcentral lists this ribosomal RNA (429 nucleotides) under Chloroflexota bacterium. RNAcentral's name for it is "Chloroflexi bacterium partial 16S ribosomal RNA". It matches the Rfam family "Bacterial small subunit ribosomal RNA", at positions 355 to 776 of the family's 1533-position model. The record is from RNAcentral. Lineage: Bacteria; Bacillati; Chloroflexota.